RNAcentral lists this transfer RNA (73 nucleotides) under Candidatus Sodaliphilus fimicaballi. RNAcentral describes it as "tRNA-Lys". It matches the Rfam family "tRNA". Rfam says of the family: Transfer RNA (tRNA) molecules are approximately 80 nucleotides in length. Their secondary structure includes four short double-helical elements and three loops (D, anti-codon, and T loops). The record is from RNAcentral. Lineage: Bacteria; Pseudomonadati; Bacteroidota; Bacteroidia; Bacteroidales; Muribaculaceae.
GACUCCGUAGCUCAGCUGAUAGAGCAAUUGACUCUUAAUCAAUGGGUCGUGGGUUCGAGUCCCACCGGGGUCA